GAUGAACGCUGGCGGCGUGCCUAAUACAUGCAAGUCGAGCGAAUGGAUUAAGAGCUUGCUCUUAUGAAGUUAGCGGCGGACGGGUGAGUAACACGUGGGUAACCUGCCCAUAAGACUGGGAUAACUCCGGGAAACCGGGGCUAAUACCGGAUAAUAUUUUGAACUGCAUGGUUCAAAAUUGAAAGGCGGCUUCGGCUGUCACUUAUGGAUGGACCCGCGUCGCAUUAGCUAGUUGGGGAGGUAACGGCUCACCAAGGCAACGAUGCGUAGCCGACCUGAGAGGGUGAUCGGGCACACUGGGACUGAGACACGGCCCAGACUCCUACGGGAGGCAGCAGUAGGGAAUCUUCCGCAAUGGACGAAAGUCUGACGGAACAACGCCGCGUGAGUGAUGAAGGCUUUCGGGUCGUAAAACUCUGUUGUUAGGGAAGAACAAGUGCUAGUUGAAUAAGCUGGCACCUUGACGGUACCUAACCAGAAAGCCACGGCUAACUACGUGCCAGCCGCCGCAGUAA
This 515-nucleotide ribosomal RNA is filed under the name uncultured bacterium. Its description in RNAcentral is "partial 16S ribosomal RNA". It matches the Rfam family "Bacterial small subunit ribosomal RNA", at positions 28 to 523 of the family's 1533-position model. The record is from RNAcentral.